Molecule: ribosomal RNA, 350 nt
Filed under: uncultured beta proteobacterium
Lineage: Bacteria; Pseudomonadati; Pseudomonadota; Betaproteobacteria
Description: bacterial SSU rRNA
Rfam family: Bacterial small subunit ribosomal RNA
Source: RNAcentral
GAGUUUGAUCUUGGCUCAGAUUGAACGCUGGCGGCAUGCUUUACACAUGCAAGUCGAACGGUAACGCGGGGGCAACCCUGGCGACGAGUGGCGAACGGGUGAGUAAUACAUCGGAACGUGUCCUGGAGUGGGGGAUAGCUCGGCGAAAGCCGGAUUAAUACCGCAUACGCUCUGAGGAGGAAAGCGGGGGACCUUCGGGCCUCGCGCUGCGGGAGCGGCCGAUGUCGGAUUAGCUAGUUGGUGGGGUAAAGGCCUACCAAGGCGACGAUCCGUAGCUGGUCUGAGAGGAUGAUCAGCCACACUGGGACUGAGACACGGCCCAGACUCCUACGGGAGGCAGCAGUGGGGAA